AACCCUUUUUAAUGGCAAUCCUGUGAGUUUGCAAAGGGGGAACAAAGAAUUCACUAAAGAACUUGAGUGAAUUCUUAAUGUACCUCUUUGCCUUCAGGCAGAGAGUUUUUUUUU
Bacillus gobiensis is the source of this 114-nucleotide regulatory RNA element. It matches the Rfam family "PyrR binding site". From Rfam's summary of the family: This family represents the PyrR binding site and terminator structure. This RNA structure is found upstream of a variety of genes involved in pyrimidine biosynthesis and transport. NCBI's taxonomy places the organism in Bacteria, Bacillati, Bacillota, Bacilli, Caryophanales, Bacillaceae. The record is from Rfam.